RNAcentral lists this ribosomal RNA (777 nucleotides) under uncultured Neocallimastigales. RNAcentral's name for it is "partial large subunit ribosomal RNA". It matches the Rfam family "Eukaryotic large subunit ribosomal RNA", at positions 24 to 649 of the family's 3401-position model. Lineage: Eukaryota; Fungi; Neocallimastigomycota; Neocallimastigomycetes; Neocallimastigales. The record is from RNAcentral.
UAUCUCUGUAGAGUCUGCAUAUCAAUAAGCGGAGGAAAAGAAACUAACUAGGAUUCCCUCAGUAACGGCGAGUGAAGCGGGAAGAGCUCAAAUUUGAAAUCCUCAAGGUUUUACCUUGACGAAUUGUAGUUUAAAGAAGUGUUUUCUGUUGGAGUUUUGGUAAAAGUUCUUUGGAAAUAGGACAUCAUAGAGGGUGAGAAUCCCGUAUUUGACCAUUAUUUCCAGCUGUGUGAUACACUUUCAAAGAGUCGGAUUGCUUGGGAAUGCAGUCCAAAAUGGGUGGUAAAUUUCAUCUAAAGCUAAAUACUUGGCGAGAGACCGAUAGCGAACAAGUACCGUGAGGGAAAGAUGAAAAGAACUUUGAAAAGAGAGUUAAACAGUACGUGAAAUUGUCAAAAGGGAAGCGUUUGACACCAGUGUUGUUUUCUCGAAAAUCAAUUAAAAAGAUGGGAUUUUGUGUUGUAUUGACUUUAUCAGCUUUCUGCACUUUUUUCCUUGUCUUUUUUAAUGCACUUUUCGUUUAACAAGUCAACAUCAAUUUCUUUUGUUGUAAAAGAGUCAUUGGAAGGUGGCUUUCUUUUCGGAGAAAGUGUUUAUAGCCUUUGGCUUCUGCAAUCGGAGAGAUUGAGGUCUGCAGCGUAGAUCCUUCGGGGUUAGAUAGCAUUUGUGCUAAGUUAUAGCCUUUCAUAGACAACUUGUUGACUAUGAUCAGUCAUGUAGCUUACUCGCUUAUGCUAUUUUACCUACGCUUAGGAUGUUGAGUAGCGACAUACGCAC